UACGGAGGUGGCAAGCGUUGUUCGGAUUUAUUGGGUGUAAAGGGUAUGUAGGUUUCCUGUAAAGUCUCUCUUUAAAUACUCUGGCUCAACCAGAGAACUGGGAGGGAAACUGACGGGAUAGAGUGCUGGAGAGGAAAGCGGAAUUCCCGGUGUAAGGGUGAAAUCUGUAGAUAUCGGGAGGAACACCAGUGGCGAAAGCGGCUUUCUGGCCAUGCACUGACACUGAAAUACGAAAGCUAGGGGAGCAAACAGGAUUAGAUACCCUGGUAGUCCUAGCCGUAAACGAUGGGCACUAGGUGUAUCCCCUUUAUAGGGGGUGUGCCGAAGUUAACACAUUAAGUGCCCCACCUGGGGAGUACGGCCGCAAGGUUGAA
Molecule: ribosomal RNA, 374 nt
Filed under: uncultured bacterium
Lineage: Bacteria
Description: bacterial SSU rRNA
Rfam family: Bacterial small subunit ribosomal RNA
Source: RNAcentral